GGGCCCGCACAAGCGGAGGAACAUGUGGUUUAAUUCGAUGAUACGCGAGGAACCUUACCCGGGCUUGAAUUGCAGACGAAUGAUGUGGAAACAUGUCAGCCAGCAAUGGCGUCUGUGAAGGUGCUGCAUGGUUGUCGUCAGCUCGUGCCGUGAGGUGUCGGCUUAAGUGCCAUAACGAGCGCAACCCUCAUCAUUAGUUACUAACAGGUCAUGCUGAGGACUCUAAUGAGACUGCCGGCGUAAGCUGUGAGGAAGGUGGGGAUGACGUCAAAUCAGCACGCCCCUUACGUCCGGGGCGACACACGUGUUACAAUGGGGGGGACAGCAGGCAGCGAAGUGGUGACACCGAGCGAAUCCUCAAACCCUCUCUCAGUUCGGAUCGAAGUCUGCAACCCGACUUCGUGAAGCUGGAUUCGCUAGUAAUCGCGCAUCAGCCAUGGCGCGGUGAAUACGUUCCCGGGCCUU
Molecule: ribosomal RNA, 465 nt
Filed under: uncultured bacterium
Lineage: Bacteria
Description: bacterial SSU rRNA
Rfam family: Bacterial small subunit ribosomal RNA
Source: RNAcentral